AGCCAUAUGGCUAUCUUACACGCCUGAGAGAGUGAUAGGUGAAAUCUGAAUGCAUGUAUUUUGAUUGGUCAAAAAUAAAACCUCCUACACGCCUAGAAGAGGCAAGAAUCAACCAAAAUGCCUUGCUGCCUUGGGAACUGAUUAGUAAUCAGCGAUGUGUUCUCCUCUUCCUCCCCUCAAAGCCGUGACUCCAUGAGGAGCAUACCAUUCUGCCUUCCUUGAUUCCAGGUACAAAGACCAUCAUCAACAGUAGACUAGACGUCUUCUUUUAAUUCAAAAAUCAAACCUAACCAACCCUUUCCUCAAGCCGUGAACCAUAUCAAGAAAGAAUCAUAGAAUGCAUGUUAAAUUCCUUCCAAAAUCUGCACCAAAAACCGUGAGCUAUUGAGAGGAGAAAUAUCAUCCAAGCUUCCUUCUUGUUCUCCUCACUGAUUCGGCAAUGAACCAUAGCCCAGGGACUGCCACAUGAAACCAUCCUUCACUCUUUUCUGUUGUUCGGUUGAAGGGAAACUUCAAGGAGGUCCAGCAAUGGUUGGGCUAUUCCUCCCAUUACAUGCGGCUAAAGGCACGGUUCUUACUAGGGAAAAUUGUCAUCCUAAGUUCUGCACUAUCCUCCAUUACACGCUAGAACAAGUGGUGAUGAUUCUCCAAAAUUUGGUGACUGUUUUCUGCAUCUAUUUUAAGAGAAACAUGGUUGCGUGGAAGAAGGCUCUUAAAACUCAAGGAUGUUUGAUGGACUUGGGGCUGUUUUGAUUAGAAAGCUAAAGUAUCAGGAGGACUUAGAAGCAUUUGAGGAAGUGUUUGAUGACAUGAUUACAUGACAAUUCUGUUAAGUUAUGUUGUUGACAACAUUGCUGUUUGCUCGUUGUCUCUGUUGAGUGUAUUCUGAAUAUUUGACCUUGAUGUAGUUUCUUAAAGAAUGCAUGCCAUGAUGUAUAUUCUGUUUUUAAAAGAAGUGUAGCAUGAUGUUUAUCAUUCUGGUAAUUUGUUUGCGAAAAGAAUUGCGGUUGUAGUUAAAUUCGGAUUUUUGAACUGUUUUUGCGAGCACUUUGCGAGUUGUCGUUCUGGGGCUACAGACCUCCGAAUGAGGUAUAAUUCAUAUGUACGUAAAUUCCCAGUUGUGUACUUUCAGAUUAUAUAAACUUUACAAUGAAAUUCUGAAAUUCCGAUUUAUUAUGAAUUUUACAAGUGAGGAGGUUUCUGGAAAAAUACAAUGAAUUUUCAAGUACCUUGCGAGUUCUGUUUCGUGGGGCUAUUCACCUCUGAUUCGCUUAUAAUUUAUAUGUACGCGAAGCCCCAGAUGUCUAAUUUCUAUACAUCAAAGAAUAUUUUCUUAAGCUGUUGAUUUCGAAUUUACAUGAUUUUGCAAGACAGGCUGUUUUCAAGAAAAAUCAGAGUUGCGCAGCGAAAGCCUUUCCAAAAAUUUACUUGCUGCUUUUAUUUUGUGAAGUCAGUUUUCCAAGCAAGAUUUUAAUUGGUAACAUCAAAUUGCUUUUAGCAAUACAAGAAUUUUACACGUCAACGUUACGUGUCUAAUCAGUUUUAGCAAACUCUUCCCUUGGAUGCAUACAAGGGAGGGUGCCACAUACAAUGUAUUGUAUAUUAUGUAUCUGACUGUCAUGCAAGAAGUGGGCCAGGGUAUAGAGAGUUUUUUAUAAACCUGGAGCUUACUGGAGAUUCGUCUCUCACCCCGUUUGGGCAUAUGAUUUCAUGU
Molecule: long non-coding RNA, 1714 nt
Organism: Gastrolobium bilobum
Lineage: Eukaryota; Viridiplantae; Streptophyta; Magnoliopsida; Fabales; Fabaceae
Exons: 4
Source: RefSeq, a predicted model, not a curated record